GGGUCGGUAGCUCAGGUGGUUAGAGCGCACGCCUGAUAAGCGUGAGGUCGGAGGUUCAAGUCCUCCUCGACCCACCA
RNAcentral lists this transfer RNA (77 nucleotides) under Alteromonas sp. Its description in RNAcentral is "tRNA-Ile". It matches the Rfam family "tRNA". Rfam says of the family: Transfer RNA (tRNA) molecules are approximately 80 nucleotides in length. Their secondary structure includes four short double-helical elements and three loops (D, anti-codon, and T loops). Further hydrogen bonds mediate the characteristic L-shaped molecular structure. tRNAs have two regions of fundamental functional importance: the anti-codon, which is responsible for specific mRNA codon recognition, and the 3' end, to which the tRNAs corresponding amino acid is attached (by aminoacyl-tRNA synthetases). tRNAs cope with the degeneracy of the genetic code in two manners: having more than one tRNA (with a specific anti-codon) for a particular amino acid; and 'wobble' base-pairing, i.e. permitting non-standard base-pairing at the 3rd anti-codon position. Lineage: Bacteria; Pseudomonadati; Pseudomonadota; Gammaproteobacteria; Alteromonadales; Alteromonadaceae. The record is from RNAcentral. RNAcentral also lists the same sequence under 2437 other names.